This is a long non-coding RNA of Chiloscyllium plagiosum (whitespotted bambooshark), 2487 nucleotides long. RefSeq lists it as uncharacterized. The record is from RefSeq and is a predicted model, not a curated record. NCBI's taxonomy places the organism in Eukaryota, Metazoa, Chordata, Chondrichthyes, Orectolobiformes, Hemiscylliidae.
CUUCCCCAGAAGCAGUCAACCACAGUGCAAAUGCCAACUUCUGCAGUAACCAUUUUCCUCCAUUUUAGACCCUCUAACGCAAGUGAGGCCCACCCAAAUUUAUUAAAUGAGGUUGGACUCAAAAGGUUUCCAUUAGGUUUUGCUAAAAUCCUGGCCAGCAUAUUCACAAAUUGAAAAGAUUUUUUUUAACUGCACAGUUAGUGAUAUUCAUUAUACAUGUUAGAUUAGCCAUUUAAAACUGCAUUUAAUUAUGCUUGGACAAAGCAGGAAAACCUGAGGUAGCUGUUCAGCAGAAUACAAUUUUACUUUUAAGCCAUGAGAGAGCUUUGGAUUGCACAGACAAAACAUGAACAAUUGUGCCCUGACAGAACAGAGGUCAAGGACUGAUUCCUAGCUGUCAAAAAUAAAAUGAAUACUUUUCAGCAGAAGGGAAGAUUGCAUUUAGACAGUCAAUUGAGGACUUGGAGGCUUGACUGUUGAGGAUCUGGAUUGCAAUCCCUUUUUCUACUCCAGAUCAAAUUAAAAGUUGACCACAUAUCUUUUCAGUUCAUCAGUUGUACAUUUGGACCAGCUGCAGCAGAAGGAAGAUCUGUAUUUAAGGUUCCAAGGAAUGCAGAGAACCCUGGGAAACACAAAGCAAAGUAUAAAAUACUCCAAGUGUGCGCAGUGAUUUCAGAAUAACUUACUCAGAUGAUGACAUUGUGAUGGAACAUGGAAACAAUAAAACACAUUGAUGACACAUCUGCAAAGUAAGAAAAGUCAAUGGCCAAAUCCACAUAUCUGGAAGACAUUCCUAACCAUUGAACUGAGAUGCACUUCACAAGAGAAGAGAAGGAAGAGGAGGAGUAGAAAGAACUCCCUUAUCAGCUGCCAAGAACUCCAUAGGGAGGCCAGAAGUCAAUAAAGAAAUAAUCCAUGACCACGACCAUAUACAAGAACAGGGACAGCAAAUACAUGAGAAUGCCAUCACCUGCAAGUUCCCCUCCAAGCCACUCACCAUCCUGACUUAGAUCUAUAUAUCACUGUUCCUUCACUGUCACUGGCUCAAAAUUCUGGAAUUCCCUUCCUGAUGGCAUUAUGGGUCGAUCUACACUGAAUGGAUUGCACCAGUUCAAGAAAGCAGCUCAAUACCACCUUUUCAAGGGCAGCUAAAGGUGGGUAAUAAAUACUGGCCCAACCAUUAGUGUCCACAUCCUAUGAAUGAUUAAAAAAAACCUAGAUAUUAUUUUUCUUGUGUGGCUGCUACCUUUAGUCAAUCCCAUGUGGAGAUUAAACCCGGAAGACACAGCUGCAUUGAUAAAGAGUGGAGUCAACUACAUCUGCUUCCCUUUACACCAGCAACAGCAAAUGUGAACACAAUGACAGCUUUAUAACACUGUUGGACUUCUUACCAAUUUUGUUUGGGUAGGAAAGUAUUAAUUGCACUCAAGUGGGAAUACAUGAACCUCGCAGAAUAAGGCUGCUUAGUACAACUAAAAAGUGCAGUACUUUAUAUACAAUCAAGCAAAGAGUGAAGCCGAGAACAUCAUCUAUGUGUUGGCAGAAUUCCCAGAAUUCUCCCCCUUAGUUACAAGCUUGGAUCCGUUCCCAAUGGACAAUGAAUGGGUUCCAGUGAAAUUGCCUCAACCAAUGAUAGUUCACAGAACAAUGCUCCUAUGAUCCUUCUACUUACUCCGUUUGGCAGAUGAAGUUUGUUUCUAGCCACUGAAACCUUAACAUCUUUCAGAAUCUCCAACACAUUUGGAUGCAACAUUGAUUAUAUUGUCCUGUGAACAGGUUUUAUUCCCCCCCCUUAACAUUUGCAAUAUUAUCUUGAAUAUUAGCCAUUACCCUGUUUCAGCCUGAAAAGCAAUUUGAAUAUAUAACUGCACUUUCUACAUGAUUGACUAAAGUAACGUUUUUAAUGUCUUUAAUCUUUAGUCAAAGAUGCCCCGGCUACCUCAGUGGACUGUUCACAUGAUCUUUCACAGGGAGCCUGUGUUUUUGCAUCUUCUUUUAGAGAAAUGAGAAUGUGGUCAGGCAAAUUAAUCAAACAACUGCAACAUCUUUCCUUCUGACUCAGAGGGCGUAACAAUGACUCCAGGGGCAGGGCUAGUGGAGUAAAUGACAGCAGGAUGAAAAAUGUAAAUCAUUAAGGAGUAAAAGAAAGACUCGGGGGUGGUGGGGAUGUAUGAUAAGAGAUUAACAGCUGUUAUGUUAUUAGCUGGAAUGGAAUUUCAGUGAUGUUAGAUCAUAUGGAACAGAGGAAUGAGAGAAAAUGAUUCUAAUGGACUCCUUCUGAACCAUGUCUCUGUAAAUAGUUAAUAAAUGUUCAUUUGUAAUAAUUAUUAUUUCCAGCCCUCAUAUGUCAAAAGAACCCAGUUGUGAGAUAUGUGUAAUUUCUAAGUGAAUUGCUUUCAAACCAUCUUUGGUAGUGCAGAGUUGGUGGAUGUACCUUGUAGAUGAGCUGACACUAAUUCCCUCCUGGCCCCAGUAUACUUCCCUUCA